Odocoileus virginianus texanus is the source of this 1460-nucleotide non-coding RNA. NCBI's taxonomy places the organism in Eukaryota, Metazoa, Chordata, Mammalia, Artiodactyla, Cervidae. The record is from RefSeq and is a predicted model, not a curated record.
UUCAGUGCAAAAUUUCAAUUCUAUGACUUGUCAAUUACCAAAGUUUAUCACAGCAAUAUAAAAUAGAGUAAAAGUGAUCUUACGCUAGACUUCUGGAACAUCAUUGUUUAUUUUUCUUGCAAAUAUGUGUUUGUAUGUAUCAAGAUGUGGGAGAUAUGCUGUCUGGCACUACAUAGCACAUCCUGAAACUUUCCAAAUAAUAAUAGGAAAAUAAAUAUUUACUUUGUUUUUCUCUUUUACAGCAUCAAAGAGUAUAAGCAGAAAAUAUGAAUCAAUCCUUACAGAAUAAAUUUCUAACCUGCCUUGGAAUGGAACACCCCAAGAAUACAAAGAAAGCCUCUUUUUGAGAAUAGGACUGGAUGAAAGGAGAACAUUAGAAGGGAGGUCCUCUUGGCAUCCAGCAGUGAUGCUGCCUUUGAGAGGCAUGACAUCUGCCUUUUAUUGAGAACUGAUGGGUCAGACCAUGUUAUGCUCCUCCGUUUCUAUGAAGCCGCUGUGAUCAGUAUCAUAUUUCCUCCAUGUCUGUAAAUAAUUUUGGAUAAGGAAGACCAAACACGUUAGAAAAGGUCACAGUGUCCCUGCUUCCCAGUAUCUGAAGACGCCACUCGGGGCAGAGGUUUCCCGUACCUUCAUGAAUUCCUCGCAGGACUUCAGCUGCUGGCACCGGAAAAGCAGCAGGAAGUUUUCUUCUGUGGGUAGCACGUGGGCCAGCUGGAAAGAUGGACGAAGCUGGUCAAAGGCGCUUGAACGCAAGUCUCCCUCAUUUCCUGCUCUUAGUUUUGCUUGACCAUAAUUUUAUUACCCGGAAAACUAGGCGAGGAGCAACAUGGCCAUCGAUUUUCCCUUUCGGUACUUUGUCCCUACAAAGCGCCACCGUGUUUUGCAGCGCUUGCUGCCCUCGAGGGACCGGUUCUCGGGUCAGCGAGAAGGCUGCAGCAGGCAUGCCUAGGCUGCCUUCUCAUCGCUCAAGGAACGGUGGCUGACACUUCUCAUCGCUAGACACACGAGCAGGCUCCUCCCGGUGGCUCGGGCCCUGCACCUUUCCUGUGCCACAGAUCAGGCCUUUUCCUGCGAGGGCCCGGAGGAUGGCACACGUGGGACCAUACAUUUCAUAGAAGAAGAGGCUGAGAGAGAUGAAUGUAGCGGAGAGGACACAAGGCCAAAAAUGAAUUCUGAAGUCGGAGGAGAAAGCUUGUUAAGAGAUGCAAUGCAAUAUAAACUCAGGACAAUGGUAAAACAAUAGAGAGAGAUGGGAACAGACACUUAACAGUGAGCAGUGGGGGCUGAAUGGCAAUAGGGAAUAUCAGUUCUCAAAUGUUUGGCGUCUGCUAAAAGGACAUCUGUUGCUUGAGUCCAGGGCUUAAAUUUUAUUUGAUGAUCUCCCUUGAGUGACCCGAAGACAUUUCUCCUAAGAUCUCAUUUUGUAACUUCAGUGCUCCUUUUUUUUUUUUUUUUUUUUU